UGGGGAAUAUGCACAAUGGGCGCAAGCCUGAUGCAGCCAUGCCGCGUGUGUGAAGAAGGCCUUCGGGUUGUAAAGCGCUUUCAGCGAGGAGGAAGGUGGUGAAGCUUAAUACGCUCAUCAAUUGACGUUACUCGCAGAAGAAGCACCGGCUAACUCCGUGCCAGCAGCCGCGGUAAUACGGAGGGUGCAAGCGUUAAUCGGAAUUACUGGGCGUAAAGCGCACGCAGGCGGUUUGUUAAGUCAGAUGUGAAAUCCCCGGGCUCAACCUGGGAACUGCAUUUGAAAACUGGCAAGCUAGAGUCUCGUAGAGGGGGGUAGAAUUCCAGGUGUAGCGGUGAAAUGCGUAGAGAUCUGGAGGAAUACCGGUGGCGAAGGCGGCCCCCUGGACGAAGACUGACGCUCAGGUGCGAAAGCGUGGGAGCAAACAGGAUUAGAUACCCUGGUAGUCCACGCUGUAAACGAUGUCGAUUUUGGAGGUUGUGCCCUUGAGGCGUGGCUUCCGGAGCUAACGCGUUAAAUCGACCGCCU
Molecule: ribosomal RNA, 528 nt
Filed under: uncultured bacterium
Lineage: Bacteria
Description: partial 16S ribosomal RNA
Rfam family: Bacterial small subunit ribosomal RNA
Source: RNAcentral